GCAACUGGAGCGGCCGAUGGCAGAUUAGGUAGUUGGUGGGGUAAAGGCUUACCAAGCCUGCGAUCUGUAGCUGGUCUGAGAGGACGACCAGCCACACUGGGACUGAGACACGGCCCAGACUCCUACGGGAGGCAGCAGUGGGGAAUUUUGGACAAUGGGCGAAAGCCUGAUCCAGCAAUGCCGCGUGCAGGAUGAAGGCCCUCGGGUUGUAAACUGCUUUUGUACGGAACGAAAAGCCUACUUCUAAUAAAGGUGGGUCAUGACGGUACUGUAAGAAUAAGCACCGGCUAACUACGUGCCAGCAGCCGCGGUAAUACGUAGGGUGCAAGCGUUAAUCGGAAUUACUGGGCGUAAAGCGUGCGCAGGCGGUUUUGUAAGACAGUGGUGAAAUCCCCGGGCUCAACCUGGGAACUGCCAUUGUGACUGCAAGGCUGGAGUGCGGCAGAGGGGGAUGGAAUUCCGCGUGUAGCAGUG
This 474-nucleotide ribosomal RNA is filed under the name uncultured beta proteobacterium. RNAcentral describes it as "bacterial SSU rRNA". It matches the Rfam family "Bacterial small subunit ribosomal RNA", at positions 217 to 683 of the family's 1533-position model. Lineage: Bacteria; Pseudomonadati; Pseudomonadota; Betaproteobacteria. The record is from RNAcentral.